This 248-nucleotide long non-coding RNA is filed under the name Prunus persica (peach). RNAcentral describes it as "long non-coding RNA (PPER_LNC005589)". Lineage: Eukaryota; Viridiplantae; Streptophyta; Magnoliopsida; Rosales; Rosaceae. The record is from RNAcentral.
UGUGCAUCAUAUUUGAUUUCUUUUAAUGAACUAUACGAGGCAUGUGUUCAAUAGAAUUUCUUGUUUUAUUUGAUAUCUACAUGGGAACCUCAAUUGAAGGGAUUUUCUGAAAUUGAAACAAUAUAGUACCCAAUCAGUGCCCAAAUUAUUUUACUCAAAUAGUAUAAUAUGAUUUUCUUUAUAUAACGAAACGGGCUCCCAAAUGUAAUUGUAGAUUCAUCUCAUCUUGACUAGAAAUGAUCUUGAGC